Ceratitis capitata (Mediterranean fruit fly) is the source of this 739-nucleotide long non-coding RNA. RefSeq lists it as uncharacterized. The record is from RefSeq and is a predicted model, not a curated record. The transcript has 3 exons. NCBI's taxonomy places the organism in Eukaryota, Metazoa, Arthropoda, Insecta, Diptera, Tephritidae.
AUGGAUUGCUUCAUGGAUAGCGUCAAAGGAGGACUCUUUUUUCGCGCCGGGAUCCGAAAAUUGCCGGAUAGAUGGGAGAUAGUUGUCGCUAGUGAUGGACAAUACUUUGAAUAAUAUAUCCCGCAUUUGAAUAGCUCAACCCGGCAUUACAUCGACUUCAAUCACAUCUCGCAAGUUCUUGGUGGAUCCCAAAAUUGACAGGAAGGCAGCCUGUUUUUUCUACACUGCGCCUUAACAAGGAUCAUCAUACCAGCUCCUAUUUUGGCACUGUUGAGAACCAAUUAUUUCCAUAGCGGCGUAAGAUAGAGAGUUUUAGAUGACAUUCCACAGUACCUUUACACUGAGUUGCUGAUAAGUUCUUGCAAUUUUUGACGUCAAAACCUUACUUGUGUUUGUUUACGGAUAUUCUUUGCCGCGCAGAGUAGAGUGACCCAAAUCGAUGUUGGGUCCUCAGAGUAUAAAUACUCUCGAGACUGGUCUACCAUAUACCAACAUAAUCGAUGUGAUUGUCAGUUUUACGAAUCGGCGAUAGCCCAGUAGCUUAAUGAGUUUACUUGGACUGGAAUCUAGAACAAGAAACAAGCAUAUAAAGGGUGAUUUUUUUAGCCACUUUCGUUUUGGCAACACUGGUUUAAACAGCUGACGCUCGUUUCGUGCUUUGUAUUACUGACGAACAUCUUCAGUUUGGUCUAUAAUUUAACCAUGAGUCACCUUACAAACGAACAAAGCUUACAAAUUA